This 1417-nucleotide ribosomal RNA is filed under the name Clostridium sp. MSTE9. RNAcentral's name for it is "bacterial SSU rRNA". It matches the Rfam family "Bacterial small subunit ribosomal RNA". The record is from RNAcentral. Lineage: Bacteria; Bacillati; Bacillota; Clostridia; Eubacteriales; Clostridiaceae.
UCAGGACGAACGCUGGCGGCAUGCCUAACACAUGCAAGUCGAACGGAGUAAGAGAGAAGCUUGCUUAGCUCUUACUUAGUGGCGGACGGGUGAGUAACGCGUGAGUAACCUGCCUUUCAGAGGGGGAUAACGUUCUGAAAAGAACGCUAAUACCGCAUGAUAUAUUGGGGUCGCAUGGCCUUGGUAUCAAAGGAGCAAUCCGCUGAAAGAUGGACUCGCGUCCGAUUAGCCAGUUGGCGGGGUAAAGGCCCACCAAAGCGACGAUCGGUAGCCGGGUUGAGAGACUGAACGGCCACAUUGGGACUGAGACACGGCCCAGACUCCUACGGGAGGCAGCAGUGGGGGAUAUUGCACAAUGGAGGAAACUCUGAUGCAGCAAUGCCGCGUGAGGGAAGACGGUCUUCGGAUUGUAAACCUCUGUCCUUGGUGAAGAUAAUGACGGUAGCCAAGGAGGAAGCUCCGGCUAACUACGUGCCAGCAGCCGCGGUAAUACGUAGGGAGCAAGCGUUGUCCGGAUUUACUGGGUGUAAAGGGUGCGUAGGCGGCUUUUUAAGUCGGGCGUGAAAGCUGUGGGCUUAACCCACAAAUUGCGUUCGAAACUGGAAGGCUUGAGUGAAGUAGAGGUAGGCGGAAUUCCCGGUGUAGCGGUGAAAUGCGUAGAGAUCGGGAGGAACACCAGUGGCGAAGGCGGCCUACUGGGCUUUAACUGACGCUGAGGCACGAAAGCAUGGGUAGCAAACAGGAUUAGAUACCCUGGUAGUCCAUGCCGUAAACGAUGAUUACUAGGUGUGGGGGGUCUGACCCCUUCCGUGCCGGAGUUAACACAAUAAGUAAUCCACCUGGGGAGUACGGCCGCAAGGUUGAAACUCAAAGGAAUUGACGGGGGCCCGCACAAGCAGUGGAGUAUGUGGUUUAAUUCGAAGCAACGCGAAGAACCUUACCAGGUCUUGACAUCCAACUAACGAGGCAGAGAUGCAUUAGGUGCCCUUCGGGGAAAGUUGAGACAGGUGGUGCAUGGUUGUCGUCAGCUCGUGUCGUGAGAUGUUGGGUUAAGUCCCGCAACGAGCGCAACCCUUGUGAUUAGUUGCUACGCAAGAGCACUCUAAUCAGACUGCCGUUGACAAAACGGAGGAAGGUGGGGACGACGUCAAAUCAUCAUGCCCCUUAUGACCUGGGCUACACACGUACUACAAUGGUCGCUAACAGAGGGAAGCCAAGCCGCGAGGUGGAGCAAACCCCCAAAAGCGAUCUCAGUUCGGAUUGUAGGCUGCAACCCGCCUACAUGAAGUUGGAAUUGCUAGUAAUCGCGGAUCAGCAUGCCGCGGGUGAAUACGUUCCCGGGCCUUGUACACACCGCCCGUCACACCAUGGGAGCCGGUAAUACCCGAAGCCAAUAGUCUAACCGCAAGGGGGACGU